GGCCCUGCCCCAGGGAGAGCAGCCGACUGCGGUAAGGGAACUAACUGUACCCUUCCCUGGCACCACGGAGGGAGCGCUGGGGCAGCGGCAUCAGGCUGUGAGCCAGGGAGCACUGCAGCUCCUCACAGCGUCAGGACCCAGCUACUUUAAAAAAAAAAAAAAAACACUUCAGCAACUCAGCUUGGACUCCACUUGACUCCCUCCUUCUGACACGGAGACACCUCAACAGCCAUCCCGAGCGUUUGGAAACGCAGGACAGAAGUACACCUCGGAGACCCCGACUCCUACCCCGUGCUGUUUCUAGCACCGCUUCAUCCUGCGAUGUCUUCACAGCCACGCCAAGCUGCAUCCUAAAAAGUGGCCGGGCCUUGGCUCGUGCUCGUCUGGUCUGAAGGCGUUUUUGGAACUCACUAUUCUAAUUGUUAGGAAUCAUCUUCUCAUUUCCAGCUUAAUUGGAUGCACGGCUGGUUAAUAUCCAUUUGCUCCUGUGCCAACGUUGUAAUUUAUCUCUCAUAGCUCCUGCCGUGGUGUUUACACUACAGUGUAUUUGGAGACGGCAAUCAUCUCCCUCUCGGCCAUUACAUGGAAGACUAAACAAGUUUUUCCAGCAUUUUCCUGCUAGCCUGCCUGUCCCUGCACCUAAUGCCAUGGUAGCUCUUCUGCCUGGGCUGCUGCUCAAGGUUCCUCUCCUGAAAAUGGGUGCCAAAGCCAGACUUUGUGCUCAUCUAGUAAGAAUUCCCCAACUGGAUACAGCCAGGGUUGCUUUUGCCCUUCUCAGUCCCAUUUUGCAGUGGCAGCUCAGUGUCACUCUGUGGCUGGUUACUCCUGUGAUUUCUCAUCUUCAGAUGCUUGCAGCUCACAAAGUCCCCAAAAUGCAGUAAAGAAGGUCUGGUGGCUUUCAUGCCUUUUUUUUUUUUUUUUGGUGGUACCGCAUUCCUUUACUUUCCCCUACACUGCUGAUGCACUACAACAUUCUGACUUCAUCAGAUUGCACCUAAUAUUUGUGCCAGUCAGUCCUUGAGGAAAUCAAUUUAUAAAAACAUCCACAAGUA
Long non-coding RNA from Corapipo altera (White-ruffed manakin), 1052 nucleotides. RefSeq lists it as uncharacterized. The transcript is spliced from 2 exons. The record is from RefSeq and is a predicted model, not a curated record. NCBI's taxonomy places the organism in Eukaryota, Metazoa, Chordata, Aves, Passeriformes, Pipridae.